ACGAGAGAUUGCUAGCUUGCUAAUAAUUCUCUAGUGGCGCACGGGUGAGUAACACGUGAGUAACCUGCCCCCGAGAGCGGGAUAGCCCUGGGAAACUGGGAUUAAUACCGCAUAGUAUCGAAAGAUUAAAGCAGCAAUGCGCUUGGGGAUGGGCUCGCGGCCUAUUAGUUAGUUGGUGAGGUAACGGCUCACCAAGGCGAUGACGGGUAGCCGGUCUGAGAGGAUGUCCGGCCACACUGGAACUGAGACACGGUCCAGACACCUACGGGUGGCAGCAGUCGAGAAUCAUUCACAAUGGGGGAAACCCUGAUGGUGCGACGCCGCGUGGGGGAAUGAAGGUCUUCGGAUUGUAAACCCCUGUCAUGUGGGAGCAAAUUAAAAAGAUAGUACCACAAGAGGAAGAGACGGCUAACUCUGUGCCAGCAGCCGCGGUAAUACAGAGGUCUCAAGCGUUGUUCGGAAUCACUGGGCGUAAAGCGUGCGUAGGCUGUUUCGUAAGUCGUGUGUGAAAGGCGCGGGCUCAACCCGCGGACGGCACAUGAUACUGCGAGACUAGAGUAAUGGAGGGGGAACCGGAAUUCUCGGUGUAGCAGUGAAAUGCGUAGAUAUCGAGAGGAACACUCGUGGCGAAGGCGGGUUCCUGGACAUUAACUGACGCUGAGGCACGAAGGCCAGGGGAGCGAAAGGGAUUAGAUACCCCUGUAGUCCUGGCAGUAAACGGUGCACGCUUGGUGUGCGGGGAAUCGACCCCCUGCGUGCC
This 760-nucleotide ribosomal RNA is filed under the name uncultured bacterium. RNAcentral describes it as "bacterial SSU rRNA". It matches the Rfam family "Bacterial small subunit ribosomal RNA", at positions 66 to 847 of the family's 1533-position model. The record is from RNAcentral.